CCUACGGGGGGCUGCAGUGGGGAAUUUUCCACAAUGGGCGAAAGCCUGAUGGAGCAACACCGCGUGCAGGAUGAAGGCCCUAGGGUCGUAAACUGCUUUUAUGAGUGAUAAUUAUGAUAGUAGCUCAAGAAUAAGGGUCGGCUAACUACGUGCCAGCAGCCGCGGUCAUACGUAGGACCCAAGCGUUAUCCGGAAUUACUGGGCGUAAAGAGUUGCGUAGGCGGCUUAUUAAGCAAGGUGUGAAAUCGUACGGCUCAACCGUACACACAUACUUUGAACUGGUAAGCUAGAGUAUGGGAGAGGUUAUUGGAAUUCCAAGUGUAGGAGUGAAAUCCGUAGAUAUUUGGAGGAACACCGAUGGCGUAGGCAGAUAACUGGCCCAUUACUGACGCUCAGGCACGAAAGCGUGGGUAGCAAACGGGAUUAGAUACCCCAGUAGUC
This 441-nucleotide ribosomal RNA is filed under the name uncultured bacterium. Its description in RNAcentral is "bacterial SSU rRNA". It matches the Rfam family "Bacterial small subunit ribosomal RNA", at positions 338 to 795 of the family's 1533-position model. The record is from RNAcentral.